Molecule: ribosomal RNA, 381 nt
Filed under: uncultured bacterium
Lineage: Bacteria
Description: bacterial SSU rRNA
Rfam family: Bacterial small subunit ribosomal RNA
Source: RNAcentral
AUUGAACGCUGGCGGCAUGCCUUACACAUGCAAGUCGAACGGCAGCACGGGAGCAAUCCUGGUGGCGAGUGGCGAACGGGUGAGUAAUAUAUCGGAACGUGCCCAGUCGUGGGGAUAACGUAGCGAAAGCUACGCUAAUACCGCAUACGAUCUAUGGAUGAAAGCGGGGGAUCGCAAGACCUCGCGCGAUUGGAGCGGCCGAUAUCAGAUUAUGUAGUUGGUGAGGUAAAGGCUCACCAAGCCGACGAUCUGUAGCUGGUCUGAGAGGACGACCAGCCACACUGGGACUGAGACACGGCCCAGACUCCUACGGGAGGCAGCAGUGGGGAAUUUUGGACAAUGGGCGCAAGCCUGAUCCAGCAAUGCCGCGUGCAGGAUGAA